GACGGAGGAUGCAAGUGUUAUCCGGAAUCACUUGGCGUAAAGCGUCUGUAGGUGGUCAAAUAAGUCAACUGUUAAAUCUUGAGGCUUAACAUCAAAAUCGCAGUCGAAACUAUUAGACUAGAGUAUAGUAGGGGUAAAGGGAAUUUCCAGUGGAGCGGUGAAAUGCGUAGAGAUUGGAAAGAACACCGAUGGCGAAGGCACUUUACUGGGCUAUUACUAACACUCAGAGACGAAAGCUAGGGUAGCAAAUGGG
Molecule: ribosomal RNA, 253 nt
Filed under: uncultured bacterium
Lineage: Bacteria
Description: partial 16S ribosomal RNA
Rfam family: Bacterial small subunit ribosomal RNA
Source: RNAcentral